CCUUUGUACACACCGCCCGUCGCUACUACCGAUUGAAUGGCUCAGUGAGGCCUUCGGACUGGCUUGGGGAGGUUGGCAACGACCACCCUAAGCCGGAAAGUUCGUCAAACUCGGUCAUUUAGAGG
RNAcentral lists this ribosomal RNA (125 nucleotides) under Phaeosphaeriaceae sp. RNAcentral's name for it is "partial small subunit ribosomal RNA". It matches the Rfam family "Eukaryotic small subunit ribosomal RNA", at positions 1657 to 1779 of the family's 1831-position model. Lineage: Eukaryota; Fungi; Ascomycota; Dothideomycetes; Pleosporales; Phaeosphaeriaceae. The record is from RNAcentral.